GAUGAACGCUGACAGAAUGCUUAACACAUGCAAGUCUUUGGCGAAGCUGUGCUUGCACCGCCUAGCCAAGGCGGACGGGUGAGUAACGCGUAAGGAACUUGCCCUGCAGUCAGGGAUAACAGACGGAAACGACUGAUAAGACCUGGUAAAGUCAGGCGGACUCAUGUCCAGCCUGAUGAAAAGAGAUGCUGCAGGAGAGCCUUGCGUCCUAUUAGCUUGUUGGUGGGGUAACGGCCCACCAAGGCGAUGAUAGGUAGCCGGCCUGAGAGGGUGGACGGCCACAAGGGGACUGAGAUACGGCCCUUACUCCUACGGGAGGAAGCAGGGGGGAAUAUUGGACAAUGGGGGCAACCCUGAUCCAGCAAUUCUGUGUGCACGAUGAAGGUUUUCGGAUUGUAAAGUGCUUUCAGCAGGGAAGAAAAAAAUGACGGUACCUGCAGAAGAAGCGACGGCUAAAUACGUG
RNAcentral lists this ribosomal RNA (463 nucleotides) under uncultured bacterium. Its description in RNAcentral is "partial 16S ribosomal RNA". It matches the Rfam family "Bacterial small subunit ribosomal RNA", at positions 28 to 507 of the family's 1533-position model. The record is from RNAcentral.